GACGAACGCUGGCGGCGUGCUUAACACAUGCAAGUCGAACGGAAAGGCCCUUCGGGGUCCUCGAGUGGCGAACGGGUGAGUAACACGUGGGUGAUCUGCCCUGCACUUUGGGAUAAGCCUGGGAAACUGGGUCUAAUACCGAAUAGGACCACGCGCUUCAUGGUGUGUGGUGGAAAGCUUUUGCGGUGUGGGAUGGGCCCGCGGCCUAUCAGCUUGUUGGUGGGGUAAUGGCCUACCAAGGCGACGACGGGUAGCCGGCCUGAGAGGGUGACCGGCCACACUGGGACUGAGAUACGGCCCAGACUCCUACGGGAGGCAGCAGUGGGGAAUAUUGCACAAUGGGCGCAAGCCUGAUGCAGCGACGCCGCGUGAGGGAUGACGGCCUUCGGGUUGUAAACCUCUUUCAAUAGGGAUGAAGCGCAAGUGACGGUACCUAUAGAAGAAGCACCGGCCAACUACGUG
Molecule: ribosomal RNA, 462 nt
Filed under: uncultured bacterium
Lineage: Bacteria
Description: partial 16S ribosomal RNA
Rfam family: Bacterial small subunit ribosomal RNA
Source: RNAcentral